Paramuricea clavata is the source of this 169-nucleotide non-coding RNA. Lineage: Eukaryota; Metazoa; Cnidaria; Anthozoa; Malacalcyonacea; Plexauridae. The record is from the annotation of a GenBank genome assembly.
GCUGGUUUUAACGCGACCCGAACUCCUGCAUUGGUUAAAAUACUUUUUACUUUUUCCGAAACUCCGUUAACAUAAGGAAGGCAUGUCGAUCCACGAAUUUCAACGGAGUUUCGGAAAAAGUAAAAAGUAUUUUAACCAAUGCAGGAGUUCGGGUCGCGUUAAAACCAGU